Molecule: long non-coding RNA, 934 nt
Filed under: Helianthus annuus (common sunflower)
Lineage: Eukaryota; Viridiplantae; Streptophyta; Magnoliopsida; Asterales; Asteraceae
Description: hypothetical non coding rna
Source: RNAcentral
CAAACAAUCUUCUCCACCGUUGUCUCCCACGUCACUAACACACAAAACCCUAAUUUCUCUUUUCACCAUACGCAUCGUCGAUCCAGCAGUUCAUACACGUCUACAGCAAUGCUUCACAAAUGAUUCAAGUCCGCCAAAUGGUUGAACAUGUAAUUAGGGAAGAGAAUAUGGUGAGUGCAUAUAAUUUGAUUGAGAUAUACUACGAACUUAGUGUUACUUGAUUACUUGCGAAAUCAAUUUAAGAAGAAGAAUCGGGACUUAACUUGAAUGUUUAGAUAUUGGAAGCAUCAGUAGGUGAGCACUUGAUGGGAAAAGAGACAAUAUAAGAUUUUGGACAAAAUUGCUACUCACGUGUUCCUGAGCUGCUUAUAAGCGUAUGUGCAUACCAUAACGCAAGACGGAUGUUGUACAUAAACACAACCGAAACACUCGAAGAACGACACAAAUUCAAAAUCUAAAGAGGGAAAAUGUGGAUCGAAGAACGACAAAAAAUCAAGUUUUUAGGUGAUGGUGGAUCUUAAUACAAGGAGGUUAAAUUUACAAGUUGUAAAUAUUAAAGUUGACAGUAUAGGAGCACUGAAAGUUUAAUAUACCAUUAUUUUUGUCGAUGUUUGGAAUGUGAAUAACCAGGAGCCAAAUUUGAUAAAAAUGACGGGAAGCCUAAAGUUGGGGAUGCGGCAACUGAGCAACAAACGAGCUAAGACUCUCAAUUCAUAUAUAUGUUAGAGUCGAAGCGUGUUCAUUAAAAAAAGUUACAACGGGUCAUUUCCUAAUGCAAAAAUGGAAAACUAUUGCUCGACAUGUUUAAGAUCAAAACAUGUCAACGUUUUUUAUAUUUAUCUGGAUUAUAUUUGUAGUUCCAUUUUUGUCGUUAGACUUAUGUAAUAUAUUUAACUUUAUGUUAUACACUUUUUCUUUUAGUUUCAAUCAAGAC